RNAcentral lists this ribosomal RNA (301 nucleotides) under uncultured bacterium. RNAcentral's name for it is "partial 16S ribosomal RNA". It matches the Rfam family "Bacterial small subunit ribosomal RNA", at positions 509 to 807 of the family's 1533-position model. The record is from RNAcentral.
CAGCCGCCGCGGGAAUACGGAGGGUGCAAACGUUAAUCGGAAUUACUGGGCGUAAAGCGCACGCAGGCGGUCUGUCAAGUCAGAUGUGAAAUCCCCGGGCUUAACCUGGGAACUGCAUUUGAAACUGGCAGGCUAGAGUCUUGUAGAGGGGGGUAGAAUUCCAGGUGUAGCGGUGAAAUGCGUAGAGAUCUGGAGGAAUACCGGUGGCGAAGGCGGCCCCCUGGACAAAGACUGACGCUCAGGUGCGAAAGCGUGGGGAGCAAACAGGAUUAGAUACCCCAGUAGUCCCUGUCUCUUAUAC